CGGGGUGAGUAAUGUCUGGGAAACUGCCUGAUGGAGGGGGAUAACUACUGGAAACGGUAGCUAAUAUCGCAUAACGUCGCAAGACCAAAGAGGGGGACCUUCGGGUCUCUUGCCAUCGGAUGUGCCCAGAUGGGAUUAGCUAGUAGGUGGGGUAACGGCUCACCUAGGCGACGAUCCCUAGCUGGUCUGAGAGGAUGACCAGCCACACUGGAACUGAGACACGGUCCAG
RNAcentral lists this ribosomal RNA (229 nucleotides) under uncultured bacterium. RNAcentral's name for it is "partial 16S ribosomal RNA". It matches the Rfam family "Bacterial small subunit ribosomal RNA", at positions 104 to 334 of the family's 1533-position model. The record is from RNAcentral.